RNAcentral lists this small RNA (168 nucleotides) under uncultured Catonella sp. RNAcentral describes it as "Clostridiales-1 RNA". It matches the Rfam family "Clostridiales-1 RNA". The record is from RNAcentral. Lineage: Bacteria; Bacillati; Bacillota; Clostridia; Lachnospirales; Lachnospiraceae.
GAUACAAGUGUCAAAAACAUGAAAAUCCGUUGCAAGCUUGCUUGCAAAAGGAUUUGACAUCUUUUGACACGCAAACAAUAUGAGUAAGUAGCCGUUUUUGUAAAAAAACGAGCGGAUUACGAAUAUUGUUGCAAGGAUUGCGAGAAGCGUUAGCUGAAGUAAUCCUGU